CUACGGGAUGCACCAGUGGGGAAUAUUGCACAAUGAGGGAAACCCUGAUGCAGCAACGCCGCGUGGAGGAUGACACAUUUCGGUGCGUAAACUCCUUUUAUAGGUCAAGAUAACGACGGUAGCCUAUGAAUAAGCGCCGGCUAACUCCGUGCCAGCAGCCGCGGUAAUACGGAGGGCGCAAGCGUUACUCGGAAUCACUGGGCGUAAAGAGCAUGUAGGCGGGUUAAUAAGUCAGAAGUGAAAUCCAAUAGCUCAACUAUUGAACUGCUUUUGAAACUGUUAAGCUAGAGUGUGGGAGAGGUAGAUGGAAUUUCUGGUGUAGGGGUAAUAUGCGUAGAGAUCAGAAGGAAUACCGAUUGCGAAGGCGAUCUACUGGAACAUUACUGACGCUGAGAUGCGAAAGCGUGGGGAGCAAACAGGAUUAGAUACCCCCGUAGUC
RNAcentral lists this ribosomal RNA (439 nucleotides) under uncultured bacterium. Its description in RNAcentral is "partial 16S ribosomal RNA". It matches the Rfam family "Bacterial small subunit ribosomal RNA", at positions 339 to 795 of the family's 1533-position model. The record is from RNAcentral.